CCUAUAAGAGGGUGCAUGCCUCAACCUCAAGUCUUACAUGAAAAACUCCUCAUGCCCAAAAAUACCUUACAUGGAAAUGUUUCACACCCAAGGUGGGUGUUCACCAAAAAGAGAAAAAGAUAUUCCAUGCUAAAAGAGGGCUAACGCCCUAAGUAACUUUUGAUGUGAAAGAGGCUUUGCGCCUCAUGCCAAAAAAAAGGUGGGUUUAUGUAAAAAAAGUUGGGUGCUGAAUUCCUUGAGAAGGGA
RNAcentral lists this long non-coding RNA (246 nucleotides) under Elaeis guineensis (African oil palm). RNAcentral's name for it is "long non-coding RNA (EGUI_LNC009862)". Lineage: Eukaryota; Viridiplantae; Streptophyta; Magnoliopsida; Arecales; Arecaceae. The record is from RNAcentral.